ACUUUCCUCUUUGGGGAGUAGCCUACUUUCAACUUAGCGCGAAAGGGUUGCGUCAACAUUCUUGGCUCCAAAGCCAUGGCGCAAGCGGCCGAAAGGCAUGGCGAGACGAUAGACUUUUCCAGUACGCU
This 128-nucleotide small RNA is filed under the name Nitrosomonas eutropha. RNAcentral's name for it is "Manganese sequence". It matches the Rfam family "Manganese Mn2+ riboswitch aptamer (yybP-ykoY)". From Rfam's summary of the family: This RNA was originally discovered in E. coli during a large scale screen and was named SraF. The family was later found to exist upstream of related families of protein genes in many bacteria, including the the yybP and ykoK genes in B. subtilis. The specific functions of these proteins are unknown, but this structured RNA element may be involved in their genetic regulation as a riboswitch. The record is from RNAcentral. Lineage: Bacteria; Pseudomonadati; Pseudomonadota; Betaproteobacteria; Nitrosomonadales; Nitrosomonadaceae.